RNAcentral lists this microRNA precursor (78 nucleotides) under Schistosoma haematobium. RNAcentral's name for it is "mir-3492 microRNA precursor family". It matches the Rfam family "mir-3492 microRNA precursor family". Lineage: Eukaryota; Metazoa; Platyhelminthes; Trematoda; Strigeidida; Schistosomatidae. The record is from Rfam by way of RNAcentral.
AGCCUUCUGUAUCUGUGCUGAGAUUUCGUCAUACACCAGACCACAAGGGCUGAUGAGACUUCCAAGAUAAGUGAAGCG